AUACUCACCUGGCGUAGAGGGAUAUCGUGAUCAUGCAGGCGAUUCCCCCAGGGCGAGGCUGCUCCAUUGCAGUGCGGAGUGGUUGACCCUUGCGAUAAUUUUUUUUUUGUUAAUAAAAAAAUUAUAAUAAAUGUAUACCCGAAUAAUUAUUUUCUU
RNAcentral lists this small nuclear RNA (156 nucleotides) under Bombyx mandarina (wild silkworm). RNAcentral's name for it is "U1 spliceosomal RNA". The record is from RNAcentral. Lineage: Eukaryota; Metazoa; Arthropoda; Insecta; Lepidoptera; Bombycidae.